This 244-nucleotide ribosomal RNA is filed under the name uncultured bacterium. RNAcentral's name for it is "partial 16S ribosomal RNA". It matches the Rfam family "Bacterial small subunit ribosomal RNA", at positions 1258 to 1500 of the family's 1533-position model. The record is from RNAcentral.
UGAGACGGAGCCAAUCCCAGAAAACCGAAUCGUAGUCCGGAUUGCAGUCUGCAACUCGACUGCAUGAAGUCGGAAUCGCUAGUAAUCGCGGAUCAGCAUGCCGCGGUGAAUACGUUCCCGGGUCUUGUACACACCGCCCGUCAAACAAUGGGAGUGGUGUUUACCAGAAGUCGUUAGCCUAACCGCAAGGAGGGCGGCGACCACGGUGAGCACCGUGACUAAUGUUAAGUCGUAACAAGGUACC